UUUUUCAAUUAAAAAAUGUCCAUGAAAACGAGUCAUCUCUCAAUGAAUGACAACAAAAUCUUAAUUGAAGAAUCCCUACUGUUGACCAAUCACAGACAAAGGGGUGUAGACUUCGGCUCCGUACUUCGGCUUGCCACUAUAAAAAAAAAAUGGGUGCCCAAACCGCCUUAAAAAACGUCACCGAAGUCCAAAACGUCACAAAAUGUUGUCAUAAUAUAUGCACAAAUUCUACCAAACUGUUUCGGCUGGAAAGCAAGCGGUCGCCGUUACCCUGCCGUGAAGUUUUGAUAACCGUUUAAAUCUCUCUAGUACAAGGUGAUUUAUCAAUAUAUUCACCUGUAUUUACCCCCCAAAAAUGAAAUAGCCACAUUAGCAGCUAAUUAGUAUCACAAAGAACCACAAAUACCAUGAUUUGGAAGAGACUGCUGAAAUGAGGCAAAGACCUCCAUCAGCUCUGUCUCCCAGAAGAGGUCCCCCCUGAACAGCAGCAGUGGAGCCCCAGUCUGAAGCAGGAGAAUCCAGAGACCACACAAAUUAAAGAGGAACAUGAGGAACUCUGGACCAGUCAGGGGGGAGAGCAGCUUAAAGAGCUAGAGUCGGAUACCAAAGAAUUCAUAUUUACUCCUGCUUUUGUCGAAAAUCAGGGCCCACCUCAGCCCUCACAUCUUUUCCAAAUGCAAAUUGUGGAGUCCCCUACCAGUACAACUAAAGAGAUCAAGAUGAAACCAAGUCACAUUGGUGAAAACCCUUGUCUUGUUUGUGGCAAAUGUUUCAACUGUAAAUCUGCUCUGGAAAGGCAUAUGAGGGCCCAUACUGGGGAGAAACCUUAUUGCUGCAGUGAAUGUGGCAAAUGCUUUAGUCAGAUCGGACAUCUGACAGUGCAUAUGAGGGGACACACAGGGGAGAAACCAUUUAGGUGUAAUAUUUGUGGCAAACUGUUUUAUUGGGAAUCUGAUCUGAAAAGGCAUAAGAGGACCCAUACCGGGGAGAAACCUUAUGGCUGCAAUGAAUGUGGCAAAUGCUUCCGUCAGAUCGGACAUCUGACUGUGCAUAUGAGGCGACACUCAGGGGAGAAACCACACAAGUGUCCUCUGUGCAGAAAAUGUUUUACCACAGCAUUUCAAUUAAGAUUACAUACAGCAAGUCAUACAGGGGAGAAACAGUAUUGCUGUCAAUAUUGUGGUAAAUGCUUCAACCAGAAAAUAAGUCUGACUAAACAUUUGAGUGCACACACAGGGGAGAAAUUACAGUAGUGCAAGGAAUGUGGCAAAUCCUUCAGAUAGAAGGGAACUCUGAGCAACCAUAUGAGGCAUCACACAUAGGAGGAAAUAAUGCAGAAAAUUUUUCAACCUGAGUGGAAAACUGAACAUUUUGAUUAUUCACACUGGAGAGAAACAAUAUACAGUGGGUAUAAAAAAAAAAGUAUUCACUCCUUUUGACUUUUUCAAGUUGUGUUAUAAUGUUGGGUUGAAAUGCUGGCCUGCCUCUAACAUUUAUGCUACCUGCCAACCCAUUUGUUGCCAUUUGUUCCAUUGUUUAUGUUUGUUCUUGGUGUCUGUUUCUUUUAUGGUAUGCACGCUAUACAAUGUAAGCUCACCACUUUGCUGUAAUCAGAUAACUGGACAUUAUUUCAUUAAGGAAAUAAAUACAUAUUUCCUUUAUUAUCUCUGACGAUGUCAAAUGACCAUGCUGACAUAUAUUCAAGCUCUGAAAGUGUAAGGACAUUUUCUGAGUGAUUUAUAAUAAUCAAUAAAUGUACCGUACCAUAUUAAA
Molecule: non-coding RNA, 1773 nt
Organism: Salvelinus sp. IW2-2015
Lineage: Eukaryota; Metazoa; Chordata; Actinopteri; Salmoniformes; Salmonidae
Source: RefSeq, a predicted model, not a curated record